RNAcentral lists this ribosomal RNA (469 nucleotides) under uncultured bacterium. Its description in RNAcentral is "bacterial SSU rRNA". It matches the Rfam family "Bacterial small subunit ribosomal RNA", at positions 334 to 793 of the family's 1533-position model. The record is from RNAcentral.
CACUCCUACGGGAGGCAGCAGUGGGGAAUAUUGCACAAUGGGCGCAAGCCUGAUGCAGCCAUGCCGCGUGUAUGAAGAAGGCCUUCGGGUUGUAAAGUACUUUCAGCAGUGAGGAAGGUGGGUAUGUUAAUAGCAUAUUCAUUUGACGUUUAGCUGCAGAAGAAGCACCGGCUAACUCCGUGCCAGCAGCCGCGGUAAUACGGAGGGUGCGAGCGUUAAUCGGAAUUACUGGGCGUAAAGCGCAUGCAGGUGGUUUGUUAAGUCAGAUGUGAAAGCCCGGGGCUCAACCUCGGAAUUGCAUUUGAAAACUGGCAAACUAGAGUACUGUAGAGGGGGUAGGAAUUUCAGGUGUAGCGGUGAAAUGCGUAGAGAUCUGAAGGAAUACCGGUGGCGAAGGCGGCCCCCUGGACAGAUACUGACACUCAGAUGCGAAAGCGUGGGGAGCAAACAGGAUUAGAUACCCUGGUAG